CGCGCAGGCGGCCUGAUAAGUCAGAUGUGAAAUCCCACGGCUUAACCGUGGAAGUGCAUUUGAGACUGUCAGGCUUGAGUACCGGAGGGGAAAGUGGAAUUCCCGGUGUAGAGGUGAAAUUCGUAGAUAUCGGGAGGAAUACCGGUGGCGAAGGCGACUUUCUGGCCGAGUACUGACGCUGAGGCGCGAAAGCGUGGGUAGCAAACA
Molecule: ribosomal RNA, 207 nt
Filed under: uncultured bacterium
Lineage: Bacteria
Description: partial 16S ribosomal RNA
Rfam family: Bacterial small subunit ribosomal RNA
Source: RNAcentral